Molecule: long non-coding RNA, 1089 nt
Organism: Mauremys mutica (yellowpond turtle)
Lineage: Eukaryota; Metazoa; Chordata; Testudines; Geoemydidae
Exons: 4
Source: RefSeq, a predicted model, not a curated record
CAAUGGCACCAUAGAAACCAAAGUCACUGCCUAACAUCUUAACAAUAGAAACCAACUCCACUACUAAUUGACUGGCAUCAGUUGAGAAAGUGGACUCCUGAUCUCACGUCUAAACUGAAGUAUCAAGAAAAGCAAUGCCAAGUGUUAUUUCUACUACUCCGUGACUGAAGAAGACGACAGAAGGUGGAGAUAGACUUCCACAUGAUGAGUGCACUUAACAUACUACAUGAAGCUUCUCUGACAGCAUCCCGGAUUUCUAUUUACACGUCAGCAUUACAGGAUGCAACAAAAAAAUCACUGAGUAUCAUCAGAAUGUAGAAGAACCAAUUUGAAGCUGUAUUUUCAUUAGAAGCAACAAAGACCUGAUGACAAUUUCUCCUUCCUGCUUCCCACCCUGACCCCAUGAAUCCAAAGAAACUGUAAACUGUAACCAGCAAAAUUGUCACUUACCUACAACUAAAGGAACACAAGCGUCCAGAGCUCCGGUUAUGCACUGUGGUUAGUUAAUUGGGGACGCUGAGGUUGUUUACAACAGCAACAUAGUUUAUGCUGAGCCAGAUCUGUUUGAACCCCACAGCUGACUAGCCUUCCACAUGCACUAAUAUGCUAUAUUUGUACAGUGAUAACAUGAUCUGUGGUCUCAGAACAGAGACACGUGCAAGAUAAAAUAUCUAUACUGCAUGACUCAACAGUACGAGAAACAGCAGUGUUAAUAGACUAGCAUCUUACUUGAACUAUGGAAUAGUGAGAGAGCUAACAUUACUUGGAACUGUAACCUACAGUUAUUUAAACCACACACAGGUGCCUGUGUACUUUUCCACUUGAAAAUGUCAUGGGUAAUCCAUACUUGAAAUUAGUUAAAUAGUUUUCUGUUGUUACUGUAAAAUCCUUGCAAUUAACAUAAUUUUUAUAGACAAGAAACCUGUUAGUACAAGGAAAUGAAAAGAGAAAGGGAUAAGGAAAUCCCCUUCAAAGGCAAAGACAAUCAACACUAUGCCCAUCCCCUCUAUUUCAGAUCCUUUUUGAAGUUUUAUUAAACUGUAGGUAAAAGCUGUUUGCUGUAACUCUGGUUAUAAGGUUGAUAUUAGA